RNAcentral lists this ribosomal RNA (485 nucleotides) under uncultured bacterium. Its description in RNAcentral is "partial 16S ribosomal RNA". It matches the Rfam family "Bacterial small subunit ribosomal RNA", at positions 28 to 507 of the family's 1533-position model. The record is from RNAcentral.
GAUGAACGCUAGCUACAGGCUUAACACAUGCAAGUCGAGGGGCAGCAUGACCUAGCAAUAGGUUGAUGGCGACCGGCGCACGGGUGAGUAACACGUAUCCAACCUGCCGAUUAUUCCGGGAUAGCCUUUCGAAAGAAAGAUUAAUACUGGAUAGCAUAACGAGAAGGCAUCUUCUUGUUAUUAAAGAAUUUCGAUAAUCGAUGGGGAUGCGUUCCAUUAGUUUGUUGGCGGGGUAACGGCCCACCAAGACAUCGAUGGAUAGGGGUUCUGAGAGGAAGGUCCCCCACAUUGGAACUGAGACACAGUCCAAACUCCUACGGGAGGCAGCAGUGAGGAAUAUUGGUCAAUGGACGAGAGUCUGAACCAGCCAAGUAGCGUGAAGGAUGACUGCCCUAGGGGUUGUAAACUUCUUUUAUAUGGGAAUAAAGUGGGCCACGUGUGGCUUUUUGUAUGUACCAUACGAAUAAGGGUCGGCUAACUCCGUG